UUAUCUAUUAUUUAUUCAUCUUUAUUAAUAGAUUCACAUUGAGUCGUAACAUAAUCUGAUACAUUAUAUGAUAAUUAAUAUAUAGCAAUUAGCAUUUUGGCUUUUUCAGAUUUUAUAUCUUAAUAGAGGUAAACAUAAACACUAGUGUACAGCAUUCCAUUUAAAACCAAGACAUUUUUCAAAAUUGUUAAAGAUUAUAACCUUUAAAAAGUCACUUAUCAUAGGCUUCGAUUUAAUAUUUUUGUAUACGUUUUUCAUAUAAUUUCAUAUUUUGAAAAAUAUAUUUUUAAAAUGUUUAAUUCUCUGUUUAUUGAGUUUUCAAAUAUGUUUACAAAUAGGUAAAGUACUGUGCAAAAGACAAAUAACUAAAAUGACAUUGGGUACAAGUCAUGGCCAAACAGCAGUUCAACAUCCAUAUGUGUAUAGAAGUUCCACAUAGAUUGCACAAUUAUUCAGGUAAAUUGAUUGGAAACAAAAAAUUAAAAACCUUGCAUUGGACAUGAAACAGGAUAUCUGGAGCUAGCAUGGAUUAGAGUCGCCCAUAUAUAUAGGUAAAGGGAAUCUUUCAAUUGGUCAUUGCCUCAAUGUGGUGGACUUCAUGGUUUGAUCCCAGACCCGCACGUAAUAGGUAACAUCCAUUAUGCACUCACACUAUAGCUAGUCUGAGAAUUGUAAGAAUCUUCAUAAAAAGGAGAGGAGAGAGAAAAAUCAACUAGGAGAAGAGGGGGCAAAACCUUUUUUUUCUAGUAGUUGGUAUUACAUUUCCUAAUGCACUAUCAAGUCUGCUGUAUCAAUGUGUAUUCAGUCCAUAUCUUGGAACAGUAGAGAGAGCUACAUGAAGUGUAUCACGUUAUGUGUCAUUGUCCUAGCCAUGGGUCCUAGAUCUUAAGGAAAUGUUUAGAGGUUUCAUGAAUUUUAGCCGUAAAUCUGUCCAUCUCAACUGUAUGUAUGGUUACGCUUUGUUUUUAUUGAAUAAACCUGCAUUUGUUGCUCUAACUUGGUACCUGUUAUUCCCUUGUUACUUUGGGAGGAUUGAAGUAUUCUACCAGUGGAAGCAUUAGAAGAUCUACAUCCCACUUUUAGCUGUUUUACCUGAGCCAGUGACCAACAUGCUCAUGAAAAUGUGAGUGGGAUACUAUAUAUACAUUGCUAUAUCCACUGAUUGAUACAGACUAUAUUGCCCUAUUAUGAGCAUUUUAUUUUUCAGAUUUAUUGAAAUCCUAUCUGUUUUUAAGUAUUCUUGUAUUUUUUUUACCUAUUCACUUAUGUAUAAACUAAUAUUCACACAGGGAAAGGUUGAGAUACAGGCAAUAUAGUCUGUAUCAAUCAGUGCGCUCUCCACUGUUGUUUUUGUAUUUUGGUUUAUUUGGUAUAAUUUAGUGAUUGAUUUCACUGUGUAUUUGUAGCAGCACCAUAACAAGCACCCAGUUAUAUCACAUAUUCUAUUUCUUGCGAUCUUUCGAUCCUGUCUUUUUUUCUUGUACCAGAUAAACUGAUUUAUCUGUGAUUGUAAUAUUUGAAGUCUGUGGGAGAAAUAGGGAUAGGAAGGGCCUGGAAAAAUAAUUUUAUAUAUUGAUUUAUUUUAUUUUUGAAAUAUUUUUUUCUGACAUUUUAAUACUUUGAAAAAAGUAUUUUAAAAGUUUAUCCAAAAAUAAAUUAUUUGAAAAGCUUAUCUAAAAAUAUUAAAUUAAGACCAUAGAUUGAAAGAAAAUGCUUGUGUAAAUGUAUGUCUUCUUGGCAAUGCAUAUAUGUGGUGGACUCUGAAUAUAAAGAGGGAGGGACCAAGUAAUUUAGAAUAUACAUUUAAAUCAUAAUGUUCUUAGAUUUCUUUGAGUAGUUAACAGGUCUUGACAAUGUCUUCCUUCCUUUUUUUUAAAAAUCACAUGACAACUGCAUAUGUAUAGAUAGACACGUAUAUUUAUGCUUGUAAUGUAUUGUGUCUGAAUCUGUAAGAAUAUGAAUAUGCUGCUGUGUAUACGCAUGCAGGGUUAAAGAUAAUGUAAGAAGAGGUUAGGGUAAAUGGGGGUUUAAGGUUAGGAAUGGAUUAAUGUCAGAGUUAGAUUACCUAGGGUGUUUUAGAGGAUUAAAAGCUUGAGAUGGGUUAUAAUUGUGGCAUAUGGUGUUUGCAAUUAUUGAGUUUAGGGCAAGGGUUGGGUUACAUUUUUAUUGGGGUACAUGGUGUGUUUACUUGUUAAAGUGGCACUGUCAUGCCGAAUUCUGUUUUUUUUUUAACCCCCCUCCCGUCUCCACUACAUCCAAUUGACCCACUAGUCACCCCCAAAUGCCCCUAAGCCCCCCACAUUACCUAUUUUUUAAUCCUUAUUUUCUGCCCCGAAUUCUAUAUUCAGGGCGCCGCCAUCUUUGUGUGGGUAGGUGAAGUCCCUGUGGGACACGUCAUCAGCCCACACUAGGCAGACUGUGAGAUUCCCGCACAUGCCCAGUGAAACACCUGGACAUGCGAACGGGAAUUUCAUCUAUUCACUCAUUCAUCAGACAGACGAAUGAGUGAAUAGAAAUAUCAGCCGAACAAACAAACACAAUGUAUCAGUGUAUGUUUGUUCGUGCAGGUUAUUACAAGGAGGGAGCUACCGGCGUGCAGCUCCCUCCUUGUAAUAUGUAAAGAUAGAAGUAGCAGGGAGCUGUGCUCCCCACCACUUCAUAAGCCCCCCCCAGGUCCCCCUCUCACUCUAUGGGGAUCAAUAUGACCCCCAUAAUAGCACAAGGGAGAUUUAAAUCUCCCAAAUGCCCCUACUCGCUAUACCGCGAGUAGGGGCAUGUCCACUAAACAGUGAGCAGCCUGUGGCUGCUCACUGUAAAAAAUAAAUAAAAAAACAACUAUUGGCCCCCACCCCUAAACGACAGGUGGGGGCCAUAAUGAGAAUGAGGGAGGGGCAGUACUCCCCCCCCCCGGCCCCCACCCCU
Molecule: long non-coding RNA, 2922 nt
Filed under: Pelobates cultripes (western spadefoot toad)
Lineage: Eukaryota; Metazoa; Chordata; Amphibia; Anura; Pelobatidae
Source: RNAcentral